RNAcentral lists this ribosomal RNA (482 nucleotides) under uncultured bacterium. Its description in RNAcentral is "partial 16S ribosomal RNA". It matches the Rfam family "Bacterial small subunit ribosomal RNA", at positions 28 to 507 of the family's 1533-position model. The record is from RNAcentral.
GAUGAACGCUAGCGGCAGGCCUAAUACAUGCAAGUCGGACGGGAUUCAGGAGCUUGCUUCUGAUGAGAGUGGCGCACGGGUGCGUAACACGUAUGUAACCUACCUUUAUCAGGGGGAUAGCCUCUCGAAAGAGAGAUUAAGCCCGCAUAAAAUCACAGCACAGCAUUGUGGAAUGAUCAAAUAUUUAGAGGAUAAAGAUGGGCAUGCGGAACAUUAGCUAGAUGGAGAGGUAACGGCCGACCAUGGCGACGAUGUGUAGGGGAGCUGAGAGGAUGCCCCCCCACACUGGAACUGCGACCCAGACCAGACUCGGAGGCAGCAGAGCAGAAAGGUACACUAGGCAAGGAAGGGAAGCCUGAACAAGCCAUGCCGGGUGCAGGAGGCCGGCCCUACGGGUUGUAAACUGCUUUUAAACGAGAAUAAUCCCAGAUACGAGUAUCUGGCUGACUGUACUGAAAGAAUAAGGAACGGCUAACUCCGUG